AUAAACGGUGAUGUUAUUGCAACCCGACGCUCAGUGUUGAUUAAUUAGACCUAAAACGACAAAAAUACACUCCAACGUUCAUAUUUCUACUUUAAUUUCAAGGCCACAGCCACAAGCUCCCCAUUAGCUUAGCUUGGCAGCCACCUAGCCUAGCUUAGCUAAGCAGCCACUUAGUUUAGCUUAUGCCUAAAUUGUUUUACAUGCUCGAACCAAACCAUUUGUUUUAACUGAUUGAAAUAGCUGUGUUUGUAUCCCAGUUUACAUAAAAAAAAUAAAUAAAAUAACUACUCCUGCCAUUCCAAAAGCCCCCUACAAAUAUCUAAUCUCCUGGCUUUACAAGUAAAUUAAAAAUUUAAUUCAAUUCAGUGCAGUUUUAUUCAAGUAACACCUAUUCACAACAUUUACACAGCAUUUACAGCAUAAACCUGGUUGAUUUAACUCGAUUUUAAACCUAUGGAAGGCCAAAUGCAGGUUUUAGUACAGACAAACCUGAUGAAGGUCUAGUACCGAAACGUCACUACUACAAUAAAGGAUAUAUUGCAAGUUGGACAGUGUGCGGGGGCCUCUUUUUGCAAUCCUCGAAGUACAGCCAUGGCCAUAAGUUUGGACACAAGUACCAUGACGCUUGUGAAUCUUAGAAAAUACCACAAAAUUGUCACUUACAAUACAGUACACAACUCCUGAGAACUAUAUUAAGUUUCAUAUUUAAAAAAAAUAUCAAAAGAGUUUGGUGUCAUUUUGUUAUUCUUACCAAAUUCGGUUGAGAAAGUACUGCAUUUUUUUGUUAUUUUCUUCUAAUAUUAUGUUUUGGGAACAAAGUUGUUCCAAUUGUUGGAAUUUAUUGAUAAUAUUAUAUCCCUUGUUGAUUUGUUGACUAAUUAAACUGGUGCUGUCAAAAAAUAUUAGUUAUGUUCUGUAAUAGACAUCAAAACAGACAUAGUAAGUCAUGCUGUGUCCAAACUUAUGGCCAUGGCUGUAGCUGACUACUUUGUGUUUAGUUCUGCUGUCUGCAUUGGCAGCAUUAUACUGGAGCGUUAAUUAAAAAUUUAACCCUCACACAAAGGUUCAGUGAUGUCUAAUCCGAAUUGAUAAUCGUAAUUAGGAAGGUAAUUUGUCAGAGGAUAUAAUAUUGUAGGGACUGUAAUAUUCAAAUUAGUCAAUUAAAUUUGCAGAAAUAAUACACCUUAUUGUUUAAUUUAAUAAGGUUUAAUUAGUUGGCUAAAUCUGCAUAAUUAAUAAUAUUUUCUUAACCUUAUUGUUGCUAGGUAACCUUUUUUCCCCAUUGGAGAACACUUAGGCUCAAGAACUGUUGUUUUAAAAUUUGCUGUAUAAAUAAUGGGACUUGCCUUCUGGGUGUCCAGCAUUGUCUGAGUGAACACAAAAGGCUUUGUAAAACCACACAUCCCAGCCUUUUACAAAUUAAAAUGUUUGUGAACAUUGAUUUGGCAGGUGAAUACACACCUGUACAAACAUCUUGACUUUUCAGAGCAUUAGAGUUCUCUGUCAGCUUCAGAUUUUAGACACGAACUAAUUUAUCUGAUUCAAAAACAUAACUGUCUGCAAAAUAGUGAAAUGAUCUCCACCAGCUAAACUGUGUGUCGAAUUAAAAUGCUGUUUCCAUUUGUGUGAGGACGACUCCUACUUUCCAGAGCUUAGCUGUAAUACUUGAGUAAUUUCACUCCCCUAAACUGACCACGGUUUAAACAGCAACGUGAGCACCAGCCGCUUCCACAGCUGAUGUCUCAGUGAUUCUGCUUCAAGGUGUUGUUGUGGACAAGUCAAGUAAAGAGUCUUUAUUGUCAUUAUUAGUUUUCAUCAGUCACAUAAUGAAAUUUUGUUGCUAAUACUGGCUUAAAAGUCAACAUUAAAAGACGUGGACAGUGAAACAUCCAUCCAUUCUCUAUACACCGCUUAAUCCUCAUUAUGGUUGCGGAGGGGCUGGAGUCUAUCCCAGCUGACUUGGGGUGAAGGCAGGCGACACCCGGGACAGGUCACUAGUCUGUCACGGGGCUACAUCUAGAGACAUAAAAUCACACUCACAUUCACACCUAUGGGUAAUUUAGAAUAAUUAAUUAACCUCAGCAUAUUUUUGGACUGUGGGAGGAAGCCGGAGUACCUGGACAAAACCUACGCAUGCACAAGGAGAACAUGCAAACUCCAUGCAGAAAGAUCCUGGGAAGGCUGGAAUCUUCUAGCUGCAAGGUGAAAGUGCUAACCAGCACACAAAAAUAGUAAAAAUACAUUACAAGUAAGAAAAAAUAUAUACAUGUAGCUGGCUGAUUAAAGUUCAUCAGUGCAAGGUGCAGUGUCAGUUCCAUGUCGUCUCAAGCUUUUUAAAGUGAGUGUGCAUGAGGUUGUAUAGAGUUUGCAGCUCUGGGGAAAAAGCUUAUCCUCAAUCUGGUGGUUUGAGUUCUUAUUGACCUGUACCUUCUUUCUAAGGACAGAGGCACAAACAGCUUGUUACCAGGGUGGGUUGAGACUGCAACUAUGCUGCCAGCUUUUCUCUGGAGGCGACCAGCAUAGACAGAGUCCAGCUUUGGCAGAGGGGAUCCCACAAUCCCAUGAACUGUGUUUACCACCCUGGCCAAGUCCUUCCUGUCCUGUCCUGUGCAGCUGCCACACCAAUCACCAUAUCUAGACAAAGAAUGCCUGUCUGAGCCUCCUGAGGAAAUAAAGUCUUUGCUGGGCUUUUUAAAAAAAAAUUUAUUUACCAGGUUAGAGGUGUUGAGGGUCCAUGUGAGGUCAGUGGUGAUGUGGAUGCCCAGGAACUUGAUGUUAUCAACUUGCUCUACAUCCUCUCCGUGUAUGAGGAGAGGAGCAUGGGCCCUCUUUCUAGAUCUCCUGUAGUCCACAAUGACCUCCUUGGUUUUCCUAGUAUUCAGGUCCAGUUUGUUGUCUCGGUCAGGUGCUGGACCUCCUCCCUGCCGUGAGUCUCAUCAUUGUCUGAUAGAAGACCCACCACGGUUGUGUCAUCUGCAAACUUCACAAUGGUACAGUAUUUGACGUCUGGAUGGCAGUGCAGUCAUGUGUGAACAGCAGGCGGCGCCGUUGUUUAAAGAAUGACAUUUGAACACCUUCUGGAGCCCCCUCUUACUUCUUUCUUAGUACUUAAACAGUGUUUGUGUGUCUGUGUGCAGACUGUGGCUCUUCAUUUCAUGCCUGAACUUUAUCUGAAUGUGACUCCACAGUUACCCAUAAUCCUGUUCUUCUUCUCUCCCCUUCAUUUACAACAAAGUGCUGCAGCAGCUAUCACAUAGAAACAUGAGAAGCUGCUGUGGACUUAAUUUACUCCACUGAUGUUCAUUUUAGCACUCAAAUUAAACGAGCCUUUGUUCAUUUAUAAUACAGAAAGUCGCGUGUUUAGUUGAGGAGAUGCUGAGUGAACACUUAUGCCAUGAAAGCAAAGUUUUUUUCCUUCGCGCUUUCGGCAAGAGCUGCUCAAAAAAGGAAACUUUGGAUUUGUUGGGUUUCUUUGUAUAGUUUGUAAGGUCCACACAUUACUUAGAUUUUAAAGCCGGCAGCUGACGUAGUGUUCACUUGUUGUCAUAGUUACAGUGAUGCCGCGCCGCUAUCUCACAAUCUUACAGAAAUCUUUAACAAAUCCAUGGAUUCAGACUAUAAACCAUGUCACUGCCAAAAUCUAAUCAGGUGGUCCUUGUGUCAUUUCUGACCUUCCCUGAAUAUUUCAUCUAAAUCUUUGAGUAAUAUUGCACACAGACAGACAAACAUACGCUGAUCAUCACAUAACAUUGUUAUAUUAUUACUCUGCCGUAUUCCUUGGCAGAGUAUUAAUGUGGACUGUGUUGCCACACUUUCACUUUACUACACUCUUCUAUGAUCCUGAUCUGCCCUAGUGACUCAUCAGUGUAAGAAUAUUUUUAUCUUAGUUCUAACACUUCAGCAGUAUUCUUGUAAAAUUAAUAUUACCCUUUCUUAGCAGAAAGACAGUCCUGUUUGUGUCAAAACUGGUACAGGAAUGAUAGUGGUGACUUUACCUUUUUUUUGGUAUAUUUCGUGUUACUAGAGGCAUGUUUUGGAGUCAUCAGUAGCCAGAACGAUGCUAACUAACCUGUGAUGUGAAAUGUUUGCGUAUAGAGAGAGAAGUUGGGCUCACAGGACACAGGAUUAGAUUACUACUAACAAAAAUAAGACUUCCAUAAAGCGGGGAGGGGAGGAGAAAUGAAAGUGAAAGUAUUCAGUCUUUCAGGUCAGACAUCAUAUUAGGAGGACAGAGAAGAAGGAUGGAAGCUAAAGGCUGAGGCAGGGUGAGUGUGAAUGCCCUCUUAUUUCACUGUCAGUGCCUCCCCUGUGGAGUGUAGAGAGGAGAGUGUGUCAGUUUGAUUCAUCUGUGGAUACAAAGUUGUGAUGGGUUGAUGAAUGCACAUCCCAAAAAACUGAAUAUAGAGUCAGAGAAAGCUAGAAACCUGAUCUGUUUUUGUGUGUGGUUCUUCUUCUCACUUGUUUGCAACUCAAACAUAUCAGUUCUUCUUGUGUUCUGGGCCCUUUAUAAGCACUUUACCCUGCUGACAGGGAGAAACCUGGUUACAGCACAAAUCAGAUCAGUUGUUUACAUGAACUGCAGUAAUAUAAUACUCAAAAGAAUGAGUAAAUAUGAACUGGUCCCUCAAGUACUCCACUGGGAAUGAUAUGAAAUGAUAUGUUGCUUUUUGUCUUUUCCUCGAGAGGCCUCAAAGGGAAAAUAAUUUGAUCCGUGGCAGCUGUGUGUAGAAAGUCCCUGUAAAAAUAGACCAGCAUUAAACCAGAGUAAUUUGUGAUUCUCUGGUCUCAGCUCUGAUGUCCAACCCCUCCCAUCUGACAGAGCUGGACCUGAGUAGAAACAAGCUGCAGGACUCAGAGGUGAAGCAGCUCUGUGGUUUUGUGUAGAGUCCACAUUGCAGACUGGAAACUUUGAGGUCAGUUAUCUGACUGUUUUUAUCUUGUGGGUUUAAUGAGAAACUGAUGCUGUUCAUGCUGAACUUCCAUCCAUGAAGGAUGUACAUUUCCUGUUGUUCAAAUUUCACGUGUGGUCACAGAAGAUGAGUGUUAGUUGGAGAAACUACAGAAAAUAUCGAGCGUCAGUUGUUAAAGUAAAUACAUGUUUUAAUUUGUGCUAAAAAGUCACAUCUGGAUACAAAAGGUCCUCUGAACUCAGAUUUAUUUUCUGACUGAAUAUCUUUGGUUCUUGUUAAGUUCAGUGGGAUUUCGCUGAUCAUGGCUGAUCACUGAUAUUGAUCCUACAGUCACACGCCCACACACACACACAAGUUAUUGAUCUGUGUUAAUGUGAAUGUUGCGCUAACAUUUAGAUGAUGUGUGUAGAAGGUUGACAUGAUGAUAAUUCACAAUAACAGAAGGACAAAGCCAAUCUGCUCAUUGAUUAGGAAGCAGUAAUGCUGACCUGCACAUUCAAAACCUGAACACACCUGAUUGGAUCAUCAAUGAUUUUGUUCUUUAUUCAGACUGAGCUGCUGUCAGAAAACAGCUGUGGUUCUCAGGUCCAACCCCUCCCAUCCGAAACAUCUGGACCUGAGUAACAACGAGCUGCAGGAUUCAGGAGUGAAACAUUUUUGUGGUUUUCUGGAGAAUCCACACUGCAGACUCUGAGAUGGUAAACAGGAGAGCGUAUGCACUGAGAGGAUGAGCUGUGUCCUGAUGAUCCACAGGUUGAAGCAGCAGCAGCUUGUAUGUAGACAAGCUCUGACUGGUCCAUGGUACUGGGAGGUGGAGGGGAGAGCUUCAUGCAACAGUGGCUGAAAGAGGAAUCAGAAUAAGUAGAGAGUCUCAGAGCUGCCAGUGACAAAGUGGAGUCCAAUAUCAUCUCUGUGUUCGUCUGCAUGCGUUUCUGGAGACACUCAUGCACUCAUGGUCUCUUUUCCAUUCAUGUUCUGAACUCAAAUCGACUGCAGGUUAAUCCUGUUUAUCUCUACAUCCCUGUCAGUUCACACUAAAAUGGCCUUCAGGCUGAACCAAUGUAGUCAUUCAGUACUGUAUUGUUUUGUACUGCAGCUCCAUCCUGUGGAAUUAUGGUGUCCUGCAGUUAAUUCCCACAUUAAAUUAAAAGUUUGAAUGAAAAAGCAACUUACAAGUAACACUGUGUGAAGAUAUAGGCAAUGCUAGCAGUCAUUGUUGUCAAUGACAUACACGUGUCCAAAAAAGCUUGUUGUUGUAUAUUAUAUGGAAAAGAAGUAAGCAGGAUGCUCAUUCACACAUUUAGCUGACACACUCAAUGGUCAUCAUAUUAAGGAAAAAGAUGGCAUGUCUUUAAAGAGCAUUAGUUAAAAUAGCCCAUGUGGUGCUUGUUAUGAACUUGAAGGUUUCAACUAAAAGCUAGAUAGACUCCCAGCUUCACACAUGCUGGACCCAGAAAUUAAUCCUGGUACACCAUGCUAAAGGACAUCUCAAUUCCUUGAAUGCAUAUGGAGGACUGAGGACCAAGGUGCUGCUGGAGGAGCUCUGAGUGAAGAUGCACAAGUGCAUCUUCACUUGCACUGGACAUGCACUGGAAUCCACAAACCAAGACUGGAGCAUAACAGAUUUUUUAUAUUUUUAGCACUCUUUAGCUGAAUAAAAAUUAAAAAUGAAUGAAAACUGUACACUGCCAUCACAUUUGUCCACACUGUGAACUGAAUUAAAAGUAAAUAUAUACUGAA
Molecule: long non-coding RNA, 6650 nt
Organism: Acanthochromis polyacanthus (spiny chromis)
Lineage: Eukaryota; Metazoa; Chordata; Actinopteri; Pomacentridae
Exons: 2
Source: RefSeq, a predicted model, not a curated record